This is a non-coding RNA of Clupea harengus (Atlantic herring), 1184 nucleotides long. Lineage: Eukaryota; Metazoa; Chordata; Actinopteri; Clupeiformes; Clupeidae. The record is from the annotation of a RefSeq genome assembly.
UACCACCAGGAUGUGCAGGAGCAAGCAUUCCCCAGAACUGGACAUGAUCAGUAUGUAAAAAAGUGAAUAAUCAGUGCUUUUACUGCAUGUCAAUAAUGUACAUCUCAAGUCAUCCUAAUGACAGUAUGCAUCAUUUGAACAGCUGUGUGAUCCCUGCAGUGGUGUCAAACAAACAGGUCAGGGGGAGGUGUUUGCUCUCCACCCAAACAGAUGUGGGCCUGAAAGGGUUCAUCUAGUUCAAGCUGUAGUGCUCUCUGUCAUUCUCAGUCCAGUACAAUGUUCCUGCAAGCUGGAAUACUGCUUACAGCCUUUGCAGGCUGCAUCUCUGCAAAUGCAAUCACUUCAAACAGUGCUGUGGUCAAAACAGUGGAGGACUUUACCAUAACCCUCUCCUGUAACUACUCCUCGGGUAACUACCUACAGUGGUAUCGGCAGUAUCCAAGAUCAGAACCCCAGUUUCUCAUGAGUGUGUAUAGCUCUACUGAGGCUCAGGAAUCAAGCUCUGAUCCUCGCCUGUCCGGGAUACUGAACAAAGAGAAAACUCAAAUCUUCCUGAACAUCAACUCUGCUAAACUCUCAGACUCUGCAGUGUACUACUGUGCCAUGGAGCCCACAGUGAAACAAACAGACUCACUGUCAUACAAGAACCUGACUCACAGAGUAAGACAAGCUACACUCUCCUUUCCGCUUGUACUGUAGAAAUUACACUGUUUUUUGUUUGUUUUUUUUGUUUGUUUUCGUGGGACUGGUUUGUUCAAGUGAAUGAAUAGCAACAAAUAAAACUAGUUAAGAAUCAGAUUGAAAUGAUGGGGUUUUAAUCUGGGAUGCAGGUUAAAAAUGAUUACCACAUUUUAGAAUUCAUAUUUUCAGCAGGGUGGUUUUCUGACUUUAAGAUUGUUAAUCAUAAUUUUCUCAGUUUCGCUUUUAUGGAUGAGGUGUGUGUUCUAAUUCAGCAUUAAUAAAAUAAAUUACGCCAAAUAUCGCUCUCGAGGAAUCAUGUCUUAAUGUUUGUUUGUAUAGAUAAGCUGUCAGCCGAGGAUACAUAAACUCUUUUUAGGAAGCAUCCGGUAUAAUUUUGCUGUUCCUCAUUUCUCAUAUGUCUUCAACUUGUCCAUUUAUUUGUAUUGCCCCAUCAUGGCCCACAUGAAAACACACUGGCCUGGCUCUUGAGUGCAGUACUACUC